GCUGGCGGCAUGCUUAACACAUGCAAGUCGAACGUGAAAGCACUUCGGUGUGAGUAGAGUGGCGGACGGGUGAGUAACGCGUGGGAAUCUACCCAGUAGUGGGGGACAACUACCGGAAACGGUAGCUAAUACCGCAUACGCCCUAUGGGGGAAAGGCUUCGGCCGCUAUUGGAUGAGCCCGCGUCAGAUUAGCUAGUUGGUAGGGUAAAGGCCUACCAAGGCAACGAUCUGUAGCUGGUCUGAGAGGACGAACAGCCACACUGGGACUGAGACACGGCCCAGACUCCUACGGGAGGCAGCAGUGGGGAAUAUUGGACAAUGGGCGAAAGCCUGAUCCAGCAAUGCCGCGUGUGUGAAGAAGGCCUGCGGGUUGUAAAGCACUUUCAGUUGGGAAGAUGAUGACGUUACCAACUGAAGAAGCACCGGCUAAAUCCGUGCCAGCAGCCGCGGUAAUACGGAUGGUGCGAGCGUUAAUCGGAAUUACUGGGCGUAAAGCGCGCGUAGGCGGCUAAGUCAGUCA
This 520-nucleotide ribosomal RNA is filed under the name uncultured Gammaproteobacteria bacterium. Its description in RNAcentral is "bacterial SSU rRNA". It matches the Rfam family "Bacterial small subunit ribosomal RNA", at positions 35 to 590 of the family's 1533-position model. Lineage: Bacteria; Pseudomonadati; Pseudomonadota; Gammaproteobacteria. The record is from RNAcentral.